AGUGAACGCUGGCGGUAGGCCUAACACAUGCAAGUCGAACGGCAGCACAGGAGAGCUUGCUCUCUGGGUGGCGAGUGGCGGACGGGUGAGGAAUACAUCGGAAUCUACUCUGUCGUGGGGGAUAACGUAGGGAAACUUACGCUAAUACCGCAUACGACCUACGGGUGAAAGCAGGGGACCUUCGGGCCUUGCGCGAUUGAAUGAGCCGAUGUCGGAUUAGCCAGUUGGCGGGGUAAAGGCCCACCAAGGCGACGAUCCGUAGCUGGUCUGAGAGGAUGAUCAGCCACACUGGAACUGAGACACGGUCCAGACUCCUACGGGAGGCAGCAGUGGGGAAUCUUGGACAAUGGGCGCAAGCCUGAUCCGGCCAUACCGCGUGGGUGAAGAAGGCCUUCGGGUUGUAAAGCCCUUUUGUUGGGAAAGAAAUCCAGCUGGCUAAUACCCGGUUGGGAUGACGGUACCCAAAGAAUAAGCACCGGCUAACUUCGUGCCAGCCGCCGCCGUAA
This 506-nucleotide ribosomal RNA is filed under the name uncultured bacterium. RNAcentral's name for it is "partial 16S ribosomal RNA". It matches the Rfam family "Bacterial small subunit ribosomal RNA", at positions 29 to 523 of the family's 1533-position model. The record is from RNAcentral.